AUGCAUUUUGAAAGUGUUUUAAAAUGCAACAUUAUGCUUUUAAGGAAAAGUGUGGUUAUAGUAAGUCUAUCCUCGAUGAUAUGCUUCAGAUAUGUAAAUAUAGCUUUGAGAUUAUUGAUCGUAUUGUCUUUCUGUGCAUGCCUGCAUAUAUGCAUAUGUGUGAUUGUUCAUAUAUGUGCAUACUUUCCAGAUAUAGUCACAGUCAGCGUUGUGGAUGAAGUAGCUGAUGACCUCCGAUUAUUUCUGUCAAAUUCUCUUGAGUCCAUAUCUGGUUACCAGGUGAAGAGCCCAGUGAUUGGUGGUAUUUAGGACUCUGAUACAGGAGAUAUACAGAGGGCCCAGAUCAAUCUCUGCCAGCCAGGUAGUGUAGCAUAUUCAUAUUUAUCCACACAAAACUACAAAAAACAUUAGUUUAAUCCUGUGCUGUCACUGUGUCCUCUGCAGGUGGAGAUGGCCUGUGCUCUUCUUCUGAACUGAGACCAGCUCCACAUCAUGCAGUAUGCUUCCUGUGAGUUUGCUGAAUGUGACGCAGUGCAGCCAGUUGAGGUGAGUAACACUGCUGAAGGGUUUUGAGCACAAUACAAUAGAUUCUUGUAAGUUUCAGUUUCAUCUGACAGAAGUCUUUCUUUUGCCUGUGGUGUCACAGAGAAACAGUGCGUGGCUUUUAGCUGGGUUAGUGCCUGCUACACUUGUCUCCACAACAGAAAAAAACAAACUUUUCCAACUUAUCAGACUGGGUCAACAUUACAAGUGAGCACUACAUCAAACAGUUAUCUGUAAUAUGAAUUAUAUGUAUAGAUUAUAUUAUACUUUGUCUUAUAAAAUGCAUAGUUGCAGCUUUAAAUUUUGAUUUAGUAGUCUACACUACCGGUCAAAUGUUUGGAAUGGUAAAGAUUUUUUUAAUAAGCAUUUUCGUUUAUAUGCACAGCAACUUAACAUACACACACACACACACACACACAUACACACACACACACACACACACACACACACACACAUAUAUAUAUAUAUGUGUGUGUGUGUGUGUAUGUUAAGUAAUAUAUAUGUUGCAAUAGAAAACAUUUUAAAUUGUAAAAAUAUUUCACAAUAUUGUUGUAUUUUUGAUCAAAUAAUUGUAGCAGAAGAGAUGUCUCAAAACAUAAAAAAAUCCACCUGAAAAAGCUGACUACUGCUUUUAAUGAUUGAAUGAAAGCUAUUCUUGGUGUCUUAUAUCAGCUUCAGCGCAGAACUCCAGUCAGCCAGCAGAGGGCAGCAAUGGAGAGUGUUCAGCUGUUCCCACCCACCUCCACAUCCACGUGUGGAGGGGCAUCAUGGGAAGUGUGCAGGGUGUGCCUCAGAUGGUUAUCCAGGCAGUGGAGAUUAGGCACCGGACCGCUUUAUUCAGCAUUGUAUUGUUCUUAUCGUCUCACUUUCCUGAUAGCAAACAUGAUAGCUUUUCAUUAAUGACUGAGCUUGAUAUGUCUAGAUUGCAUAUACAGUUUUGAUACUCUGAGGGCAUUUUGUUUUGCAUUCAUUCUUUUUCCAAUUUUCAGUUUCAUAGUAACAACAUGGAGGGUAGAGUGUGGUAUGGGCAGGGUGAACCCAUGUUUAAACCCAGAGCUAAUGCAAAAUUUCCCUGUAAGCUAGUCUGUGACCUUUACUGACAAUCCUAUUAUUACACAACCCCCUAGAUCCAGGUGGGUCCUAAACACACACAUAUAACUGAGAUUACUGAACAGAUGCAGUUGCAUUUAAUUUCAACAGUUUUUUCCCCCUGAUAAAACUACAAUAAAAAUAAUAUAUUUAUUUAAAAAAUAUUAUAUUGCAAAUAUUUUCAAUAUUGUCAUACACAUUUUAGAAAUAGUUAUUUCUAUUGGUUUCAAUCUGUGGCUUGCAAAUACGGCAUUAUUUCACAAAUCCACCUCCAGUCUCCUGCAGUGUGACAGCUAGACCGCAUCUAAAACUAUUGUAAACAACAUUUUUGUCAUUCUUGUGUGUGCAGUUGUUAUGACUUCAUAUUUCGGGACAACACAAAAUAUUAGUGCUUUUCAAAUGUAAUUAUUCACACCGCAGAACUCUUUAGGUGAGCUGCAGGUAGGUAGUUUAAAAAUGGGAUAUAUCACAGCACCUAAACAUACAGUUUCCCUUUUACAAAAAUGUAUACAUGUUGAUUCAGUCUUAAAGUAUGAAUUCAUUUUUUUUUUUUGCAGGUGAGCCGUAUUCCCAGGCGCUGGUAAAAGGUCUCAUUCUAGUGUUCUUCUUCAUUGCUGCGUCUGUUUCAGGAACACCAUGGAAACAAAUCAGACAGGCAUGGAGUAGUGCUUCACUAUGAAAGAAAGCAAGGGAUAGAAGAAGAAAAUGAUUUAUCAAACAGAAUUUGAUAUUCAAGUGUAAAUAGAUGUUAUUUAUUUUCCUUUUAUGUUUUGUAAAAAAAAAAAUUAUGAAUCAUUAUGUUUUGAGAACUUUUGU
This is a long non-coding RNA of Cyprinus carpio carpio, 2448 nucleotides long. The record is from Ensembl. NCBI's taxonomy places the organism in Eukaryota, Metazoa, Chordata, Actinopteri, Cypriniformes, Cyprinidae.